AGUGAACGCUGGCGGUAGGCCUAACACAUGCAAGUCGAACGGCAGCACAGUAAGAGCUUGCUCUUACGGGUGGCGAGUGGCGGACGGGUGAGGAAUACAUCGGAAUCUACUUUUUCGUGGGGGAUAACGUAGGGAAACUUACGCUAAUACCGCAUACGACCUACGGGUGAAAGCAGGGGAUCUUCGGACCUUGCGCGAUUGAAUGAGCCGAUGUCGGAUUAGCUAGUUGGCUGGGUAAAGGCCCACCAAGGCGACGAUCCGUAGCUGGUCUGAGAGGAUGAGCAGCCACACUGGAACUGAGACACGGUCCAGACUCCUACGGGAGGCAGCAGUGGGGAAUAUUGGACAAUGGGCGAAAGCCUGAUCCAGCCAUACCGCGUGGGUGAAGAAGGCCUUCGGGUUGUAAAGCCCUUUUGUUGGGAAAGAAAAGCAGCAGGUUAAUACCCCGCUGUUCUGACGGUACCCAAAGAAUAAGCACCGGCUAACUUCGUG
RNAcentral lists this ribosomal RNA (492 nucleotides) under uncultured bacterium. RNAcentral describes it as "partial 16S ribosomal RNA". It matches the Rfam family "Bacterial small subunit ribosomal RNA", at positions 29 to 507 of the family's 1533-position model. The record is from RNAcentral.